Molecule: long non-coding RNA, 1732 nt
Organism: Ficedula albicollis (Collared flycatcher)
Lineage: Eukaryota; Metazoa; Chordata; Aves; Passeriformes; Muscicapidae
Source: Ensembl
AUGGCACUGGAACUGACAACACGGGGAUGUAACUGUGGUGGGAUUGCUGAAAUGCAGCCUGCUGUGUGCAGGGACAGUGAUGGGUUAAAUAUUAACAUCCAGAAAAGCCCAGCUGCUGGAUGGAGAGUGCAGAGUGGAGUCACUGCUGGAGCUGGGAUCCUCACACAGGUACAGAGUGCAGGAUUGGGAUUGGGAUUGGGAUCCUCACACAGGUACAGAGUGCAGGAUUGGGAUCCUCACACAGGUACAGAGAGCAGGGAUUGGGAUUGGGAUCCUCACACAGGUACAGAGUGCAGGAUUGGGAUUGGGGUCCUCACACAGGUACAGAGUGCAGGAUUGGGAUUGGGGUCCUCACACAGGUACAGAGUGCAGGAUUGGGAUUGGGGUCCUCACACAGGUACAGAGUGCAGGAUUGGGAUUGGGGUCCUCACACAGGUACAGAGUGCAGGAUUGGGAUUGGGAUCCUCACACAGGUAGAGUGCAGGGCACAGUGCCCACACUGGCUCUGUUUUUCCUUUUUCUGGAUGUUUCCAGAAUUCAUUCUCCUGAGCAGACACAUGGCAGAGUUUAAUCCAUUAAGAUAAAGCAGGCAAUUUGUGAUUUAUGGCAGCAGAACAACUUCCUUUCUCUUUCAAGUCUUCAUUAAUGACACUAAUAAAGAUUUGAAGAAAACUGGCUCUGUAUUUACAGCCAGGUCUUUGGAAACUCUGACAGGAGGGACACUUGCAGAAAUGAGUCCAUUAGCUGUAGGAACAUUAAUUAAUUUAUAAAUCUGCAACAGCUGUUAGAGAGACUCAGCUUUAUCUGCAAAGGCCCCAGGACUUUACAAAACCCAAAACAGCUUUCUGAAUUUAACACAGUUUCACUGAAAAACUUUCUCUUUUCCUGACCUUUGAAAAUCCUGCUGUUACUCUUCGUAACUUGCAAAGUCUUUCUGAAUUCUCCUCACUGUGAUGAUGAAAGAAUUGGCCAGACUUUGAGAAUUGCCCUGUUGAAAAUCACUCUUGGAAGGACUUUAAUAAUAAUAAUAAGCAAAAUCCAUUGAAACUCGUCUAAUAUAAAGUACAUGUCAGGAUAAUCUGACAUAUUUGGCUGCUUUAAGUGCUGAACCAGUUCUCAGAGGAUUGAAUUUUAUAACAAAGGUUUCCAGUGCCUCAUUCUAGCCCAGUAAAAACUAAAAUUUUCCAACUCAGCCAUGCAUCCUUCAUUGUCAGGGUGAUGAUGAGAUGUGUGCUAUCACUGGGGAGCUCACUGCUGCUUUCUAAUGGGCCUUUGUUGUUCUAGGACAAAGACUGAUUGAUAAAUUGCCUAUAAAAAGUGCCUUUGGGAUAUUAUUUAAUUGUCAGUGAAGUCUCUAUGUACUCACAGUUAUGUCUUUCCUCACAACACCUGCAGUACAAUCAAUUCUCAGUUCCUGGCUGCAGUUGGCCCCCUGGAGCACUGCACAGGGAGAGAUAGAAGCACUGAACUGGAAGAUGACUCCAAUUAAUUAGCUAUGCCUUGGAGAAGAAAGAAAAAAGAAUAAUAAAGAGCAAAGAACAGCAUUGACAUUGGAGAAGUGCCACUGGAAGGUGUGGCUGCUCAGAGGAGGAUGUCCCAAAGAUAACUCAGAUAUUGCUUAGACAUUUUUUGAGCAGCUAGAGAACAUGACAAGCAAAAUUUGCCAAAUGUGGCAGUUUCAGUUGUGCUGAGUGUGUGUUUGUAACUGAAGGUGUUGCAGUGUUAGUGAGGU